AUCUUCCUUAUAUUUAUAUAAAUAUAUAUAAUAUAUAUAUUUUGCUGAUGCAGUAUACAGUGUGUAUAUAUGUGUGUGUGUGUGUGUGUGUAUGUGUGUGUAAAUUUAUAUACACACACAUGCAAACAGUUCCUGGAAGAGAAUUCUGAAUGCUUUGCUAGCAAAACACUGUGGUGUGCAAACCUAGAACCCAAUAGAAAAAAAAGCCAUUUAUCUGAAGGCUGCAUAGUGGAGAGAGUCUUCAGUUUACCUCAUUCUUUGUAGCAGCCCUUGAUUUUAACAGGUUUUUGUAAUAGGUACAGAUAAUCCCAUACCUUUCUAGGUGCGAUUUUAAGUUAAGCUAAAAAUUAUUUGUAGGGUUAAUUUAUUUGUAUAUGAUAGUAGAAGGUAAGAUCAUGUCAAACCUUAUAAUUUGGGGAAUCUGACACUAUUUAAAUUAUUGGCAACUGUUGUCUGUUGUACAGAGAUUCUUUUUCUACUGGCUCAGUCUGUUACAUUAAUAAUGCAUUUUAUAUGUUCAGGCACACUUUACAUAAAUACAAAGUUCGCUAGUAAAUAUCUGGCUAUUUUGGCUAUUUACAACACUAAUUUCAUUAUUUUUAUCUGUAAGCAUUAUUAAUACAUCUUUACCAAAACCUGAGCAAUACAAUAUUUUCUUUAUAUGUUAUAUGCCUUUGUUUGCUAAAAGCUAAUAUUUUUGCAUUUACUUUAAAGGGCUGUACUAAACCCACAGCUUUAAGUUCUUCCCUAAAAGAAGCAUUGCAGCUAACCCUUGAACUCACAGUUUUAAAAUACAGUAUUUCUCUUCUCCACAUCUCCAUGCCUUCGCAUCAAUGCUUGUUUUUCCUGGUGAACACUAUAGAUAAUCUCCUGUUUGAAAUGUGGGACAGGGUGUUUCAUGGCAGUGGAGCUAAGUUUCUCCUCUUUAUAGUGAACUGGUGACCCAAAUGUCCCUGUCAUUUAUAGUGAACUGAUGACCCAAAUGACUCCCUGUCAGUAGAGUCCCAUGUGGCCCAUGCUUCACACAAGCAGAAAUGAACGCACUGUUUUUAAGGCUAGAUUAUCAGUUCUAGAAUGAUUACUUCAAAGAUGGGAGCUACCUCCUCAGAUAUUCACACUAUGAAAUGGAGGUGCUUGAUGUGUUUCACACUGGCUUGUUUGACAGUCUUCUAUCUUACUGUUAAUUCAGCAGUAUUUUAUUGUGAAAGAAAACCCCAGUGUUUGAGCUCACUCAGGAAUUGGGGAGAGAGAUGGACCACCACUGUGGUGCAUUUCUUAAGUGUUCUGGGAGAAUGUCAUACUUUUCCUUCCCAGAGUAAAAGAAACCUUUGGGAGAUCCUGAGGGAGACUGUUUCUCCCCAAGUAUGAUGAUGUCUAGUCAAGUCUAAGAAUACCACUGGACAUGUUCUAUGGACAUUUGGGAUUGCAGUUGCUAUUCUGAUUUGAUUGGUCCUCAGUCAAAUGGAUCACUUUGAAGGAAAGCUUUGGUUGUCACCGUUAUAUACCACUGAGAUAAAGUGUUAGCAAAGUAUGGUUCAAAUUAACUUAUGACAUGACCAAGAGCUUUUCUCUUCCAAAAGAUGAAUUGUAUUGUAAAUAGUUUCUCAAAAUAUUUUUAACUGGAUCAUGAGCAUGGGGAGAGAAAGUUUCUCAGCUGCUAAGAAUUUCCCCACUGUUUACUUCUUUCACUUAUGGUGGUAUUGCAUUUAAGAUUACAAAAUUUAAGGUUUUAUUUGUAUCUAUUACCCAAACCAUUAAAUUGUCUUUAAUUUCAUUGUUGUCUUGGAGGUCCAGUGCAUACAGGGCUGAUGGGGGAAAACUCCCUCUAGCCAGUCAGCACUCUAACCCAGGAUUAAACCAUCCCAUCAAGUAGUAUGUGAAGUCAAGUCUUCGUACUCUUGCAGACCAGACAUUGAAAUGGAUUCAUUCAUAUAGAUUUCUAUAAAUCCUAUAAGUGAAAAGAUAGACAACUGUCCGCAGUUGCUUUUAAAAAAGGUCACUAUAAUAAGUACUAUAUAGUACAGUAUUAAUUUAUAGCAGGAAAUCGUAUCUUGUAAACUGUAUAUAAAACACUGUUUUAUGGUGCAAUCAUUUGUCAAACUUUUGUCUGUUUCAUUGUUUUUAGAGUGUGUGCAUUCUUCUCAUACCUAAGAAUAUCACUGUAAAAUCUGCUGAAAACUAUUUUUAGGUUUUAUUUGCACAAGACUGAAUUAGUUUGACAUUUUUGGAAGCUCCUAUUGAACAUACCCAAACAUCUGUAAACAUGAAAAAUCUUCAAUUUAUUAAAAGCAAACAUUUCAGUAUGAUUCUUUCCAAAGGUAAUCCAUGUUCUAUGUUGUUAAUGUGUGUAUGUAAUUUUUCUGACUCUUCCACCUCUUAUAAACCUAUUUUCUGUUUCAUUUGUUUUGUUUUUGAAGGAUGGCUCUUUUUUCUUUUUAAUGUUCUAGAUGACCAAAACACUAUUGGUUUUUACCCUUUUGCCUAAAGCUUUGAUAUCCCCACUUGAUGUUCUGUGAAUUCACUGUUUAAUCUAUUAAGUGAAAUAAUAAAUAGUCCUGGUGACAAACAAUCUGUUGAUUUAGAGGAAAGGCCCUGAAAAAUACAGUAUUGGAAACUAACUUUGCAUAUGCUGUUAGCUAUUAUUUUGCAUCAUGGGCUUCAUGGGAAGAACAUGUUGCAUUUAUUUUGUCUUUAUUAAAAGACUACUAGCCACAAGUUACUCUGAUUAUAGUAACUGUUUUAUCAACCCACUUCAUCUUUAAAAAAUUAAAUUUACAUUCACAAUUCAAAACAGUAAGCUGUCUUUCAGAAAAUUUUUGAAGGAUAAAAACAUGAAGGAAAAAAGUGGCCCGUGUAGGUAGGAUUCCCUACACAGGACUUUUAGUUGUAUCACCUCAAGAGAUUUUGAAGUUUGUGAUCAAGGUCUGUAUAUUAUCCCAAACUUUAUUAAGAAUUGUUUUCUAAUUGGUUAUAACAUUUUUCAAUUAAUAGUUUCAAAACAAAUUGUUAAUACAACUGUAUAAAAUGAACAUAAUUUUCCUCACUUGUAUUUUUGUUAUUGAGCAAGUUUAUCAAAAUAAAUUGUCUACUAAAGAAACU
This 3099-nucleotide long non-coding RNA is filed under the name Homo sapiens (human). Its description in RNAcentral is "long non-coding RNA NONHSAT141042.2". The record is from RNAcentral. Lineage: Eukaryota; Metazoa; Chordata; Mammalia; Primates; Hominidae.